AACCUGCCCAAGAGAUCGGGAUAACACCUGGAAACAGACGCUAAUACCGGAUAACAACAGAUGAUGCCUAUCAACUGUUUAAAAGAUGGUUCUGCUAUCACUCUUGGAUGGACCUGCGGUGCAUUAGCUAGUUGGUAGGGUAACGGCCUACCAAGGCGAUGAUGCAUAGCCGAGUUGAGAGACUGAUCGGCCACAUUGGGACUGAGACACGGCCCGAACUCCUACGGGAGGCAGCAGGC
This 239-nucleotide ribosomal RNA is filed under the name uncultured Lactobacillus sp. Its description in RNAcentral is "partial 16S ribosomal RNA". It matches the Rfam family "Bacterial small subunit ribosomal RNA", at positions 123 to 354 of the family's 1533-position model. Lineage: Bacteria; Bacillati; Bacillota; Bacilli; Lactobacillales; Lactobacillaceae. The record is from RNAcentral.